GAUGAACGCUAGCGGCAGGCUUAACACAUGCAAGUCGAGGGGCAGCACGAGUAGCAAUACUUGGUGGCGACCGGCAAACGGGUGCGGAACACGUACGCAAUCUACCUUUAUCUGGGGCAUAGCCCGAAGAAAUUCGGAUUAAUUCCCCAUAAUAUGAUUAAGUGGCAUCACUUGGUUAUUAAAACUCCGGUGGAUAGAGAUGAGCGUGCGUCCCAUUAGCUAGUGGUAGGGUAACGGCCUACCAAGGCGACGAUGGGUAGCUGGUGUGAGAGCACGACCAGCCACACGGGCACUGAGACACGGGCCCGACUCCUACGGGAGGCAGCAGUGAGGAAUAUUGGUCAAUGGACGCAAGUCU
Molecule: ribosomal RNA, 358 nt
Filed under: uncultured bacterium
Lineage: Bacteria
Description: bacterial SSU rRNA
Rfam family: Bacterial small subunit ribosomal RNA
Source: RNAcentral